GAGUAGCCAGAAGCAACCACAGGAAAAUACAUGCAAGCCCUGUUGGUGCCAAAAGGACUUUAGGCCCUGCAAAAGCUCUGC
Long non-coding RNA from Nothoprocta perdicaria, 81 nucleotides. RefSeq lists it as uncharacterized. The transcript is spliced from 2 exons. The record is from RefSeq and is a predicted model, not a curated record. NCBI's taxonomy places the organism in Eukaryota, Metazoa, Chordata, Aves, Tinamiformes, Tinamidae.